RNAcentral lists this long non-coding RNA (2298 nucleotides) under Equus caballus (horse). RNAcentral describes it as "lncRNA (ENSECAG00000056617.1)". Lineage: Eukaryota; Metazoa; Chordata; Mammalia; Perissodactyla; Equidae. The record is from RNAcentral.
GGAUUAAAUCUGUGCUCUAGUGGAUGUGGCAGACCCCUGGGCUAACAGCCCAAGGGACACACCUCAAUGGCCCCCACCUGUGUCCAUAUCAGCACGCAUGGACCAGCUCAGAACAACGGCCCCCACCAAUGUCUCAGUCUCUGGAGAGGAUCCUCCUCUCACCAAAAUGCCCCCAGAGCCCACCAGGAGCAGAUGUGUCAAUUAGCUUGAAAAGAAAGCUGAGGACAAGAAGCUCUUAUCCAGUUCUCCAUUUGGGACACUUGGAAAAGACUGCAGUAAAAAAGGACCCUGUGUCUCCAUGAGGUGGAAUGUUAUGUUUAUGGGAUGGAGAAAAAGGGCCAUAAGUAAAUAGAGUCUGGAAUGAUCUCCCACGCUUCUCUUGCUUCCUAUGUGGCAAGAAACUGCUGUGGAGGAGUGGCAAGUCUGGGCCAAGGAUCCAGAUGGAAGAAGUGGCAAAGAGUCUGAAACACAGCAAGGGCUGAGUAAUCAGAGAGUUGUUGAUUGAGCAGAGAAAAAUUACAUUUGUGUUCAUCAGCCCCAGAUGUCAGCAGCAAAAGCCAACAGAAAAUCCUGAGAAAGGACCAACCAACCAAGUAAUGCAGCAGACACCCACUCUGCAGUGGUCUGAAAACCAGAACCUCCACAUCCAGGCCUUAUAUUGACAGAACAGAAUCUCUAGGACCCAGUCGUGUCAUGUGGAUCACAUCGGCCUCCAGCUCGCCCAAGUUUGCACCUUAGACAUGUGGUCAUUGCACAGGUCAAGUGUCUGGAGCACCCUUACAAGACUGCACUUAGUCUUAACCCAGAGUGAAGUCACAUGCCCGUGCCUAUAUCCAGUCCCUGUACAGGACGCCAGAUUCAACUGAAACCUGACUAAAGAGGAACAUCCUCCAUCCAUGCAUUUCAUGCAUCCACCCAUUCAUCAACUCUAUGCCCAGCACUCUUCUCUCGGCCCUUCGCUGGGCUCACUGUCUACAGACCCAAGACUUUGUCCACCUUCUCUAUAUUCUGUGUUUCCUUGUGGUCUUAACCCCAGACCAGGGUUCAUAUAUCUAACUGACCACUUGUUACAUCCACUUGAAUUUCUCACCAAAAUCUCAAACUUAACAUGUCUCAAACUAAGAUCAUAAUCACCUCCUUCGCCUCAAUAAUACUUCCUUCUAGCGUACUCUAGCUAAUACUCUACUACUACUCUAGCGACUAGCAGCACUACCCACCUAGUGGUUUAAGCCAAACUUCUGAUUCAUUCUUAUCUCCUCUCUCAGCCUCAUCACAUACACAAUCCAAGCUCUGUUGUUUCUGCUUCCCUUAUAUCGCCUGAGCACUCCUUUUUCUUUCUUUUCUCAUUGCCAAAAUCCAUCAUUGAAAUAAUUUCCUAAAUACAUACAUGUGUGUGUAUAUAUAUACAUACACACCUGCAUUUACUCUAUUUCUUAAAUUCAUUUUGAAUGAUACUUUCAGGACAUUUCUUUUAUAAAAUACAAAUAAUGUGCAUCAAUUCUAUGCUAUAAAUCCUUGAUUUGUUUCCCACUUCCCAUGGAAACACACUCCAAAAUACUUAAAAUGGCCCAGGAUGGCCUGGCUCUGCCCACUUCUUCAAUCUUAUCUCUUAGCACAGUCUCCUGCACUCUCUCAGCUCUCUCCAUAAUGCAAAAUGCCAAAUCAUCUGCCGGAAACGCUCUCCCAGGCUGUUAUAACCUAGGUAACCAGCAUGUAUUCAUCAGGGGUCAGCUAAACAGCAUCUCCUUAGAGAAGUCAUGCUGAUUGCCUGUUACAUACUUUUCUAACACAUUCUUGAUCUUAAGAGUUUUAAAAAUUCAUAAAAAUUGAGUAUAUUAUUUACAAUUUUGCUUCAUUCCUACGUUCCUAGUCUAUUGCAAGCUCCAUGAAGGCACGAAAUCUUGCCAAGCAUAGUCAUGUCUAUGUCCCAAAAUAUCUGUUGCAAUGCAUGAUAUCUAGCAAAGACUCAAAUAUUUGAUAAAUGAAUGAACGAAAACAACCAUUGAGCAAUUUUUAUGGCCAAGUCCUCUAUGUUCCUCAAGCUGGUGUUUCAAUCCUAUGAAGUCCAUUCAAAAUUCUUAGCUGCCAAGAGAAAACUUGAGUAAUGUCUCUUGGCAAAUCAUUACACUUUCUUUCAUUUCUCUCUGUUUAAAAGUGAUUUCUCUCUCUUAAAAAAAAAAAAAAGCCUUUCAGUAAACAGUUCUAAUAAAUAUCAGCUAAUAAAAGAAUGAAUGUAUCAAACAAACAAAUUGAGAAAGGUAAACAAACCAAAGAAAGUAUGGAAAGAAAAUCUAAAAU